Molecule: ribosomal RNA, 744 nt
Filed under: uncultured Hyphomicrobiales bacterium
Lineage: Bacteria; Pseudomonadati; Pseudomonadota; Alphaproteobacteria; Hyphomicrobiales
Description: bacterial SSU rRNA
Rfam family: Bacterial small subunit ribosomal RNA
Source: RNAcentral
AGAGUUUGAUCAUGGCUCAGAGCGAACGCUGGCGGCAGGCUUAACACAUGCAAGUCGAACGGGCACCUUCGGGUGUCAGUGGCAGACGGGUGAGUAACACGUGGGAACGUGCCCAUCGGUUCGGAACAACCCAGGGAAACUUGGGCUAAUACCGGAUACGACCUUACGGUGAAAGAUUUAUCGCCGAUGGAUCGGCCCGCGUCUGAUUAGCUAGUUGGUGAGGUAAUGGCUCACCAAGGCGACGAUCAGUAGCUGGUCUGAGAGGAUGAUCAGCCACACUGGGACUGAGACACGGCCCAGACUCCUACGGGAGGCAGCAGUGGGGAAUAUUGGACAAUGGGCGAAAGCCUGAUCCAGCCAUGCCGCGUGAGUGAUGAAGGCCUUAGGGUUGUAAAGCUCUUUCGGCGGGGACGAUAAUGACGGUACCCGCAGAAGAAGCCCCGGCUAACUUCGUGCCAGCAGCCGCGGUAGUACGAAGGGGGCUAGCGUUGCUCGGAAUCACUGGGCGUAAAGGGCGCGUAGGCGGCCGAUCAAGUCAGAGGUGAAAGCCCAAGGCUCAACCUUGGAAUUGCCUUUGAUACUGUUCGGCUCGAGACCGGAAGAGGUAAGUGGAACUGCGAGUGUAGAGGUGAAAUUCGUAGAUAUUCGCAAGAACACCAGUGGCGAAGGCGGCUUACUGGUCCGGUUCUGACGCUGAGGCGCGAAAGCGUGGGGAGCAAACAGGAUUAGAUACCCCGGUAGUCC